Picea glauca (white spruce) is the source of this 119-nucleotide non-coding RNA. The record is from Rfam. NCBI's taxonomy places the organism in Eukaryota, Viridiplantae, Streptophyta, Pinopsida, Pinales, Pinaceae.
GGGUGCGAUCAUACCAGCGUUAAUGCACAGGAUCCCAUCAGAACACCACAGUUAAGCGCGCUUGGGCUAGAGUAGUGCUGGGAUGGGUGACCUCCCGGGAAGUCCUAGUGUUGCACCCU